Molecule: non-coding RNA, 93 nt
Organism: Negativicoccus succinicivorans DORA_17_25
Lineage: Bacteria; Bacillati; Bacillota; Negativicutes; Veillonellales; Veillonellaceae
Source: Rfam
GGGGGAGGAUGAGUUCUGGUGUUCUCUCUAGUCUUCAAAACUAGUACGAGGGGUUAGGAGCCUCUUAGGUGGGUUCGAUUCCCACCCUUUCCC